CUGAUGUGGGGGAUAACCAUUGGAAACGAUGGCUAAUACCGCAUGAUGCCUACGGGCCAAAGAGGGGGACCUUCGGGCCUCUCGCGUCAGGAUAUGCCUAGGUGGGAUUAGCUAGUUGGUGAGGUAAGGGCUCACCAAGGCGACGAUCCCUAGCUGGUCUGAGAGGAUGAUCAGCCACACUGGAACUGAGACACGGUCCAGACUCCUACGGGAGGCAGCAGUGGGGAAUAUUGCACAAUGGGCGCAAGCCUGAUGCAGCCAUGCCGCGUGUGUGAAGAAGGCCUUCGGGUUGUAAAGCACUUUCAGUCGUGAGGAAGGUAGUGUAGUUAAUAGCUGCAUUAUUUGACGUUAGCGACAGAAGAAGCACCGGCUAACUCCGUGCCAGCAGCCGCGGUAAUACGGAGGGUGCGAGCGUUAAUCGGAAUUACUGGGCGUAAAGCGCAUGCAGGUGGUUUGUUAAGUCAGAUGUGAAAGCCCGGGGCUCAACCUCGGAAUUGCAUUUGAAACUGGCAGACUAGAGUACUGUAGAGGGGGGGUAGAAUUUCAGGUGUAGCGGUGAAAUGCGUAGAGAUCUGAAGGAAUACCGGUGGCGAAGGCGGCCCCCUGGACAGAUACUGACACUCAGAUGCGAAAGCGUGGGGAGCAAACAGGAUUAGAUACCCUGGUAGUCCACGCCGUAAACGAUGUCUACUUGGAGGUUGUGGCCUUGAGCCGUGGCUUUCGGAGCUAACGCGUUAAGUAGACCGCCUGGGGGAGUACGGUCGCAAGAUUAAAACUCAAAUGAAUUGACGGGGGCCCGCACAAGCGGUGGAGCAUGUGGUUUAAUUCGAUGCAACGCGAAGAACCUUACCUACUCUUGACAUCCAGAGAACUUUCCAGAGAUGGAUUGGUGCCUUCGGGAACUCUGAGACAGGUGCUGCAUGGCUGUCGUCAGCUCGUGUUGUGAAAUGUUGGGUUAAGUCCCGCAACGAGCGCAACCCUUAUCCUUGUUUGCCAGCGAGUAAUGUCGGGAACUCCAGGGAGACUGCCGGUGAUAAACCGGAGGAAGGUGGGGACGACGUCAAGUCAUCAUGGCCCUUACGAGUAGGGCUACACACGUGCUACAAUGGCGCAUACAGAGGGCGGCCAACUUGCGAAAGUGAGCGAAUCCCAAAAAGUGCGUCGUAGUCCGGAUUGGAGUCUGCAACUCGACUCCAUGAAGUCGGAAUCGCUAGUAAUCGUGGAUCAGAAUGCCACGGUGAAUACGUUCCCGGGCCUUGUACACACCGCCCGUCACACCAUGGGAGUGGGCUG
This 1293-nucleotide ribosomal RNA is filed under the name Vibrio parahaemolyticus. Its description in RNAcentral is "bacterial SSU rRNA". It matches the Rfam family "Bacterial small subunit ribosomal RNA", at positions 131 to 1417 of the family's 1533-position model. Lineage: Bacteria; Pseudomonadati; Pseudomonadota; Gammaproteobacteria; Vibrionales; Vibrionaceae. The record is from RNAcentral.